AGUAAAAGUCGUAACAAGGUUUCUGUAGGUGAACCUGCAGAAGGAUCAUUAUUUAUAAAAAUGGAGUGCACUUUAUUGUGGCUCUGAACCUUUUAUAUAAUCUUACCCCAAAACUUGUUUGUGUGGCAUCUUUUUAGGUGUCAUUGCACUCAGGUACACGUAACAGUUAUGUUACAUUACCCCCCCACCCCAAACCUUUUUUUAUUUUUAUAAACCCAAGUUUGAAUUAAGAAUGUAAAAUUUUAAUAUUAAUUAAAAUAACUUUUAACAAUGGAUCUCUAGGCUCUCAUAUCGAUGAAGAACACAGUGAAAUGUGAUAAGUAAUGUGAAUUGCAGAAUUCAGUGAAUCAUUGAAUCUUUGAACGCACCUUGCACCUUUUGGUAUUCCAAAAGGUACACCUGUUUGAGUGUCAUGAAAAUCUCUCAUCAAAUUAAUUUUUGGUGGAUGUUGAGUGCUGCUGUUAUCUAGCUCACUUUAAAUAUAUAAGUCUUUUUAUCUUUUGUUGGAUUGACUUGGUGUAAUAUUUUGAUCAUCAAGGAAAGUAGCAAUACUUGCCAGCACUAUGGGAAAAGGACUCCUAAAUUGAUUAAUUUUAUUUUAUUUUUAAGACCUCAAAUCAGGUGGGACUACCUGCUGAACUUAAGCAUAUCAAUAAGCAGAGGAAAAGAAACUAACAAGGAUUCCCCUAGUAAUGGCGAAUGAAACGGGAAAA
Molecule: ribosomal RNA, 713 nt
Filed under: uncultured fungus
Lineage: Eukaryota; Fungi
Description: eukaryotic LSU rRNA
Rfam family: 5.8S ribosomal RNA (bases 260-413)
Source: RNAcentral